AUGGCUCAUAACAAAUCUCCAGGCCCAGAUGGCUUUACAACUGAAUUCUAUCAACACUUCUGGGACCUGAUUAAAGAUGACCUCAAACUUAUGUUUGAUGAGUUAUAUAAUGGGACGCUUGAUAUCAAGAGACUGAAUUAUGGUAUUAUUACUUUGAUACCAAAAACUAAAGAAGCUAAUCAAAUCCAAAAAUUUAGGCGUAUAUGCCUGUUAAAUGUUAGUUUUAAAAUUUUCACCAAAGUCUUGAUGAAUAGACUUAAUAUUGUGGCUAGAUUUGUUAUUUCCCCAAUACAGAUAGUUUUUGUCAAAGGGAGAUACAUUAUGGAGGGGGUGUUAGUACUGCAUGAAGCACUAAAAAGUGUACAUGUUGAAAAACAGAGUGCUCUAUUGUUGAAAGUGGAUUUUGAAAAAGCAUAUGACAAAGUUAAAUGGCCCUUUGUGAUGCAAAUGCUAAAAAGAAAAGGAUUCCCUGAUAAAUGGAUAGAUUGGGUGAUGAGUACUAUUAGAGGGGGAAGUGUAUGUAUCAAGGUCAAUGAGAAUUAUGGACCAUACUUUCAGACACACAAAGGUUUGAGACACGGGGAUUCUUGUUGGAAAUAUGCCCUAGAGGAAAUAAUAAAAUGGUUAUUAUUAUAUUUCCUUGUUCAUGAUAAUUGUCUAUUGUUCAUGCUAUAA
Molecule: ribosomal RNA, 675 nt
Filed under: Triticum aestivum (bread wheat)
Lineage: Eukaryota; Viridiplantae; Streptophyta; Magnoliopsida; Poales; Poaceae
Description: partial small subunit ribosomal RNA
Source: RNAcentral